This is a long non-coding RNA of Elaeis guineensis (African oil palm), 1100 nucleotides long. RefSeq lists it as uncharacterized. The record is from RefSeq and is a predicted model, not a curated record. NCBI's taxonomy places the organism in Eukaryota, Viridiplantae, Streptophyta, Magnoliopsida, Arecales, Arecaceae.
GCAGUGCAAACCCUAAACCCUAAUCUCGCCUCCAGUUCCCUACUCCACAACGCUCCCCCCUCCUCUCUCACCCCCGGGCGAGGUUUUCCGUCUUGACCUGGGAGGUCGGGAGGAAGAGGGGAAGGGUAGGGACAAAUCGAGGGAGCUGGAUCUUUGAGAAGGAGCAGGUGUUGGGGCUGUCAGGAAAUCCAAGGAGAAAAGAGCCGAGCUAAUGGAUUACCCGUUAGUUUCCUUCACUUCUAUGUAUUGAGAUUUACAAAAUAUGUGAUGUCGCAUUUCCAGAGCCUCUCUAUGUGAUAUGAUAUGUAUGACACUGCAUAAAACUUUUAUUAACAGAGUGAACCGCUCCAAGCAGGACAUAUUUAUCCUGGGCAGAAGCAGUCGUCUUUUCUAGAUAAUUUAAUUGUCAAGAAAAAAAGCUUGACUCGAUUGUAGUUUGCAGUAGUUUCCAACAAGAGGUGGGCUGGGGAUACCACAUGGGACAACAUCAAAUUGAGGGAAGAUAUAUUUUAUGCGGAGCUAUGUGGCCGAAAGAGAAGUCUACAUGCCUAACAAAAGGUGGCAGCUAAAAAAAAGGAGGCUGUGUUCAGGAGAGGUUAACCCACAUCCUGUAACUUUUUUCAUGUCCAGCCAUAGGCCGUAUUCACGAGAUAAGGGGAACCAUGAGGAGGAAAAAGAAAAAGAGGAGUACUCGUUAGCUGUCUUCUGCCUCUCUUUUCUUGCAUUUUUGGGCAGUGUUUCAGUACUGGUUAUCUACACUCACCACACGUCGCGAGGUUUCGAGCACCAAGGUACUGUACUGAAGUGAAAGCAAGUGUUCUGCAAGGUCGCAGCAAGCCAUCUACGCAUUCUGAAAGCGGCUUGUCCUAGUGAGCUUUAAUGUUUCCUCGGUCGAACUGUUCCAUCUCUCAGCUCUCACCAUAGCGACCUGUUUCCAUGAAUUAAUCGCACCCACAUGGUUACGGCCAAAACUGCAUUAAAUAUAUUGGGCCGCGUUCGGCAACUCACAGCAUUGUCCAUGGUAGCAGUAAUGAUCCAUGUUCCACCUUUUGAACUCAAAUCACAUCACAAUGUUAUUGACAUGCAGAAUCUAGCUUGCA